This 574-nucleotide ribosomal RNA is filed under the name uncultured bacterium. RNAcentral's name for it is "partial 16S ribosomal RNA". It matches the Rfam family "Bacterial small subunit ribosomal RNA", at positions 355 to 921 of the family's 1533-position model. The record is from RNAcentral.
UGGGGAAUUUUGGACAAUGGGCGAAAGCCUGAUCCAGCAAUGCCGCGUGUGUGAAGAAGGCCUUCGGGUUGUAAAGCACUUUUGUCCGGAAAGAAAUCCUUGGCUCUAAUACAGUCGGGGGAUGACGGUACCGGAAGAAUAAGCACCGGCUAACUACGUGCCAGCAGCCGCGGUAAUACGUAGGGUGCAAGCGUUAAUCGGAAUUACUGGGCGUAAAGCGUGCGCAGGCGGUUUGCUAAGACCGAUGUGAAAUCCCCGGGCUCAACCUGGGAACUGCAUUGGUGACUGGCAGGCUAGAGUAUGGCAGAGGGGGGUAGAAUUCCACGUGUAGCAGUGAAAUGCGUAGAGAUGUGGAGGAAUACCGAUGGCGAAGGCAGCCCCCUGGGCCAAUACUGACGCUCAUGCCACGAAAGCGUGGGGAGCAAACAGGAUUAGAUACCCUGGUAGUCCACGCCCUAAACGAUGUCAACUAGUUGUUGGGGAUUCAUUUCCUUAGUAACGUAGCUAACGCGUGAAGUUGACCGCCUGGGGAGUACGGUCGCAAGAUUAAAACUCAAAUGAAUUGACGGGGUCC